AGAGUUUGAUCCUGGCUCAGAAUCAACGCUGGCGGCGUGCAUAACACAUGCAAGUCGAACGAGAAAGUGGGGGCAACCCCGCGAGUAAAGUGGCAGACGGGUGAGUAACACGUGAAUAACCCACACCCCUGUGGGGAAUAACCCCGCGAAAGCGGGGCUAAUACCGCAUAACAUCACGGGAUUGCAUGAUCCUGUGAUCAAAGGCUUCGGUCGCUGGGGAAGGGGUUCACGCCUGAUUAGCUAGUUGGUGAGGUAACGGCCCACCAAGGCAACGAUCAGUAGCCGGCCUGAGAGGGCGUACGGCCACACUGGAACUGAGACACGGUCCAGACUCCUACGGGAGGCAGCAGUGGGGAAUUUUGCGCAAUGGGCGAAAGCCUGACGCAGCAACGCCGCGUGGAGGAUGAAGGCCUUCGGGUCGUAAACUCCUGUCAGGGGGGACGAAAGCCGCGCAAGCGGUUUGACUGUACCCUCUGAGGAAGCCACGGCUAACUCCGUGCCAGCAGCCGCGGUAAUACGGAGGUGGCAAGCGUUGUUCGGAAUUACUGGGCGUAAAGGGCGCGUAGGCGGCUUGGCAAGUCAGAUGUGAAAGCCCCGGGCUUAACUUGGGAAUUGCAUCUGAAACUGCUUUGCUUGAGUCCUGGAGGGGGUAGUGGAAUUCCCAGUGUAGCGGUGAAAUGCGUAGAUAUUGGGAGGAACACCUGCGGCGAAGGCGGCUACCUGGACAGUGACUGACGCUGAGGCGCGAAAGCUAGGGGGAGCAAACGGGAUUAGAUACCCCGGGUAGUCCUAGCCGUAAA
This 800-nucleotide ribosomal RNA is filed under the name uncultured bacterium. RNAcentral's name for it is "bacterial SSU rRNA". It matches the Rfam family "Bacterial small subunit ribosomal RNA", at positions 8 to 806 of the family's 1533-position model. The record is from RNAcentral.